AAGCAAAAGCUUCAAAAAAAAAAAAAUCUUCCAAUGAGAAAAUAUAUAUAUAUAUUAUUGCCACCGCCAACCUGUUACAUUGGGCAUCUCAUUAAUCUUUUCCGGAAUUGAUAAAAUACUAGAAUGAAAGCAAAUGAAGGGGAUAAAAGGGCCAACAAACCCAAUCAGUACCAACUGAUACGAAAACAACAUCAUAUCGAAACAACAUGACGACAUGUGAAGCGUAAACACAUUUGGGAUGCAAUUCUAUUGCAGCCUGCCACUGAAGUUAUCAACUGGAAACAUAUUUACUUCCCGUAUUUCAGGUCAUGCCACACAGAUUGCAACCGCAGCUUGGCAAAUUUCCACGAAAGUUCCUUUGGCCCAUCCGUGGAAAAUCCCAACACCAUCUAUAAAACUACAUUUUUUUUUUUUUUUUGGUCAAAUGAAAGAAUACAAGCACCAUGAUUAAGGACAGUACUAGAUCGCUGUUAAAAUCAUGGCCUAUAAAGCUACCUUACACUUUGCAAUGCCUCCAUUUCACAAAACUUGCAAUCAAAAGGUAGAUUGGUUAGCUGUCAAUCUGAGAAUCUUUCUUAUUUGUACAACUGGAUUGCUGAGUGGCUUUGAGAACGCCUACCUAGGCCAACUUUGUAUGAUAACAAUCACUAAACGGUGACCGACAUCAUACUUCAGCAAGCACCCUGUUCAUCCUCCUCUCAGGAAGUCCCCUGUACAAACUCGUCAAGGUAACAGCAUUAAUUCCUUCGCAUAUGAUAGUUUAUGAUGUGUUCCCUGAUUGGAUCACACUUGACCGGAGUGUCUUCCAUCGUUUACAAUAUCAAGUGGACCACAGGAAUCAACAUUGUCCCUCUGACACUCAUAUGAUGUGCAUGAACCGUCUUCGAUAUCAAAAUCAUUCCUCUUGUUACAGGAAAUCCCUCUGAAAAGUUUAAAGCCAACAUCACCACCACAAUCAUCAGUGGAAAUACCAACAUGUGCUUCUGAAAUAUCAUCCAAAUCUCCCUCAUACUCCUCAUCAGUUGCAA
RNAcentral lists this unclassified non-coding RNA (1028 nucleotides) under Hevea brasiliensis (rubber tree). Lineage: Eukaryota; Viridiplantae; Streptophyta; Magnoliopsida; Malpighiales; Euphorbiaceae. The record is from RNAcentral.